UCUAAAAGUUUCCACACUAUUUAAACUAUUCCUCCUUCUCUAGGGUUUGAAACCCACAAAACUUCUUCUUCACUCGAAUUUUCAAAAAAUAGGAUAGUCGAUUGCACACCAUCUUCGUCAAGAAAAGGAAAAGCAAAAAAAUUGCACCCAAUUGGCGAUGCACUUCAGAAGCAGGAACGCUAAUUUGCUUCACUUGAUUUCUCCUAAGUAUUGAGCUUAGGGAAGCCAAUACUAGUACCAGACAUGGCAAAGUCAAUUUAUCAGUUCAUCGCACCUCAGGGCAACAGAAGUAUAAUUAACUAUAUUUGGUGAAACUUAUGGAAAUUCCACAAUUAUAGCACUGACAUAGGUUUGUUGUGCCAAUGAAGAACGGUGACCUCGAUAGUAAAGGGGUUUUCGCUAGUAUUAUUCAAGCUGAAGUAACAAUAGAAGCAUUCAAGUGUAGGAAAAUUCUUAUGAUGCAAUGGGGUAAGGUAUGCAUACACACUAUCCUCCCAAAAUCCCGUUACGGGAUCAAACUGAGUUUUUUGUUGUUGUUGUUGUAAUUGAAAAUGGUGGCCAAAAGUCAAUUUGGCCAUUUGAAGUUAAUGAGGAAGACUUUUGGACAACUAGGAUAUGUAUCAUACAUGAUACUAUAUGAAUACAUUCGAUUUUAUAAAGUUCAAUUUUGUAAAAUUCACAUUUAGUACGCAUCUUGAAAUUAUUUUCGUUAUUAGUUGAA
Nicotiana tabacum (common tobacco) is the source of this 721-nucleotide long non-coding RNA. RefSeq lists it as uncharacterized. NCBI's taxonomy places the organism in Eukaryota, Viridiplantae, Streptophyta, Magnoliopsida, Solanales, Solanaceae. The record is from RefSeq and is a predicted model, not a curated record.